UACAUUCACUACUGUAAGUCACUCUGGAUAAGAGCGUCUGCUAAAUGAUGUAAA
Salmo salar (Atlantic salmon) is the source of this 54-nucleotide non-coding RNA. The record is from Rfam. Lineage: Eukaryota; Metazoa; Chordata; Actinopteri; Salmoniformes; Salmonidae.